This 287-nucleotide ribosomal RNA is filed under the name uncultured beta proteobacterium. RNAcentral's name for it is "partial 16S ribosomal RNA". It matches the Rfam family "Bacterial small subunit ribosomal RNA", at positions 485 to 771 of the family's 1533-position model. Lineage: Bacteria; Pseudomonadati; Pseudomonadota; Betaproteobacteria. The record is from RNAcentral.
AAGAAGCACCGGCUAACUACGUGCCAGCAGCCGCGGUAAUACGUAGGGUGCGAGCGUUAAUCGGAAUUACUGGGCGUAAAGCGUGCGCAGGCGGUUUUGUAAGUCAGACGUGAAAUCCCCGGGCUUAACCUGGGAACUGCGUUUGAAACUGCAAGGCUAGAGUGCGGCAGAGGGGGGUGGAAUUCCACGUGUAGCAGUGAAAUGCGUAAAUAUGUGGAGGAACACCGAUGGCGAAGGCAGCCCCCUGGGUCGACACUGACGCUCAGGCACGAAAGCGUGGGGAGCAA